AAAUCUUUCAAAACAAUGCAACAAGCACUUUAAAUAAGAAUAAUAUAAUUUGUUAUUAAUAAAGAUACAGUUACUAGAGAGUUUAAGUUAAUAAAAAUGCCAUUGAAUCUGCAGGCAUUUUUACCAAUGUUUUUAUAUCGAGAAUGCAGUUAUGAAGAAUUUGAGUUUAUUUCUGAUACAUUUAAUUUUAAAAAACUCCCAUUUUAUUCUGAGCAAAAAAAAAUUAUAUACAAGACAGAAGUAACUCACGAAAACUCUAGAAGUGAGGAUUUCCCAUCUUUAUGGCCUUUGGAUGAUGAAUUGGACUCAGGAGACUGGAUUGAAGUUCAAAAGUUUUAAUUUAAUUUCCCCAAAAUGUAGGAAUGCAUCUCAUCAAUUUGCAUAGAACUUUUAUAAAGUAGACAUCAGUGAUGCUUAGUUUCAAAACAAUAUUGAGGCAAAUAAUCUACAGUAUGUUUAGGGAAAUAAGCCAAGGCAUGCUGUCUGACAAAUGUUGUUGAAAAUUUUAAAAUUAUGAUAGAAUAUAUUCAAUGAUACCAGUUGAUAGUGAUCAUCUUAUGUCAGGAUUAAUCAAUGACCAACAAUUUCUAGAGUUUUCACAUUACUAACUAUGGAACUGUCUCCCACUGUUCUACUUACCAUAAGUUAGAAAUUGUCUUAUGAGAUUUAUGCAGAUUGUCAUAGAAAUUCUGAU
Molecule: long non-coding RNA, 694 nt
Filed under: Androctonus crassicauda
Lineage: Eukaryota; Metazoa; Arthropoda; Arachnida; Scorpiones; Buthidae
Source: RNAcentral